UCGAUUAGAGUUUGAUCCUGGCUCAGGAUGAACGCUGGCGGCGUGCCUAACACAUGCAAGUCGAACGUGAAGGGGCGUUUUCGGAUGCCGCUGAAAGUGGCGAACGGGUGAGUAACACGUAGAUAACCUGCCCUGGAGUGGGGGAUAACCACUGGAAACGGUGGCUAAUACCGCAUAGGCCCUUGAAGUCGGGAGGCUUCGAGGGGAAAGCUCCGGCGCUUCAGGAGGGGUCUGCGUCCGAUUAGCUAGUUGGCGGGGUAACGGCCCACCAAGGCGACGAUCGGUAGCUGGUCUGAGAGGACGAUCAGCCACACGGGAACUGAGACACGGUCCCGACUCCUACGGGGGGCAGCAGUGAGGAAUAUUGGGCAAUGGGCGAAAGCCUGAUCCAGCCAUGCCGCGUGCGGGAAGAAGGCCUUCGGGUUGUAAACCGCUUUCGGCCGGGACCAGGAUCGCCCGCAUGAACAGUGUGGGUGGAUGACGGUACUGGCAGAAGAAGCACCGGCUAAUUACGUGCAGCAGCCGCGGUAAUACGUAGGGUGCGAGCGUUAAUCGGAAUUACUGGGCGUAAAGCGUGCGCAGGCGGCCCUUUAAGUCAGGUGUGAAAGCCCCGGGCUUAACCUGGGAAUGGCGCUUGAGACUGGAGGGCUUGAGUGCGGCAGAGGGGGGUGGAAUUCCUGGUGUAGCGGUGAAAUGCGUAGAGAUCAGGAGGAACACCGAUGGCGAAGGCAGCCCCCAGGGCCGCGUCUGACGCUCAGGCACGAAAGCGUGGGGAGCAAACAGGAUUAGAUACCCUGGUAGUCCACGCCCUAAACGAUGUCGACUAGUUGUUGGGGGAGUUAGAUCCUUCGGUAACGCAGCUAACGCGUGAAGUCGGCCGCCUGGGGAGUACGGCCGCAAGGUUAAAACUCAAAGGAAUUGACGGGGACCCGCACAAGCGGUGGAUGAUGUGGUUUAAUUCGAUGCAACGCGAAGAAUCUUACCUACCCUGACAUGUGCCGAAUCCCCCGGAGACGGGGGAGUGCCCGCAAGGGAGCGGCAACACAGGUGCUGCAUGGCUGUCGUCAGCUCGUGUCGUGAGAUGUUGGGUUAAGUCCCGCAACGAGCGCAACCCUUGCCAUUAGUUGCCACGCGAGAGGUUGGGCACUCUAAUGGGACUGCCGGUGACAAACCGGAGGAAGGUGGGGAUGACGUCAAGUCCUCAUGGCCCUUAUGGGUAGGGCUACACACGUCAUACAAUGGCGCGUACAGAGGGUUGCGAAGGGGUGACCUGGAGCCAAUCCCAGAAAGCGCGUCGUAGUCCGGAUUGCAGUCUGCAACUCGACUGCAUGAAGUCGGAAUCGCUAGUAAUCGCGGAUCAGCAUGUCGCGGUGAAUACGUUCCCGGGUCUUGUACACACCGCCCGUCACACCAUGGGAGUGGACUGUACCAGAAGUGGCUGGCCUAACCCGUGAGGGAGGGCGGCCCCCACGGUAUGGUUCAUGACUGGGGUGAAGUCGUAACAAGGUAGCCGUAUCGGAAGGUGCGGCUGGAUCACCUCCUUAAUCGA
RNAcentral lists this ribosomal RNA (1549 nucleotides) under uncultured bacterium. RNAcentral describes it as "bacterial SSU rRNA". It matches the Rfam family "Bacterial small subunit ribosomal RNA". The record is from RNAcentral.